CACGUAGGAUGUUUGUGCUGGAGCAACGGAGGUGACAACUGCAGGUGAAGCAGGUGAUUGUGUUUCUAUCUUCGGCAAAGAGCCUCUGGAGCCUGACUUUCUCUGAGCCAGACAAACGAACACAGAGGGAGAUAGUCCUGACAAAACUAACAGCCCUCUUCAUCGUAGCAGGGAAUCUCUUUAUUUAUUUUUAUUGGCAGAGGGUACUUCCUGUAUUAUUAUGUU
RNAcentral lists this long non-coding RNA (225 nucleotides) under Populus trichocarpa (black cottonwood). Its description in RNAcentral is "long non-coding RNA (PTRI_LNC002492)". Lineage: Eukaryota; Viridiplantae; Streptophyta; Magnoliopsida; Malpighiales; Salicaceae. The record is from RNAcentral.